Molecule: long non-coding RNA, 424 nt
Filed under: Rattus norvegicus (Norway rat)
Lineage: Eukaryota; Metazoa; Chordata; Mammalia; Rodentia; Muridae
Description: long non-coding RNA NONRATT011883
Source: RNAcentral
UGGGAGCUGAUGGACCUGAGCAGAAAGAAGACACCUUUGACGUCUUCCGCCAGCGCAUGAUGCAAAUGUACAGACACAAACGGGCCAGCAAAUAGAUCAGAGCCACUGGCGACAGAGAUAAGCCUCGAAGCAGCCUUGCCCUUCCCGCCACCCUGCCCCGGACGCCUGCAACCUGAGCCUCGUUCCAGGGUCACAUCCACUAGGACCAUGGAUUCCAAAAGUUGUGCUGGCCUGACCUGGCCUGGCCUGGCCUGGCUCCGGUGUGCUCCUGUCCCUGGAUGUGCGUCGUGCAAGUUGAUUGUGUACCUGGUAAAAGCUAGAACACACGUGUGAUGUCACCACUUGGACGUAGCUGUAUUGUAAGGAUCUAAGAAGUCAUGGUGUUCGAUGUUGAGUGCUUGGAAUAAAUGAAGAGCAGUCCUGC